CUGGCCAAGGCAAGAACAAAAGGGAAAAAGCAUAGAACAAACCCUAGAGAAAAAAAUCAAGAGAAAAUUCAUUGGAUUUCAAGGAAUUAAGCAAGUAAAGGUAAAAUUUCUUAAUUCUAGCUUGUGAUCUACCUUUCCUAUGCAUUCUUUUAAAAUUACCAUGGUUAAAAUUCAAGAUCUCAUGAAGGAUUCAUGGCUGAUUGAAUUUUGGGAGAGAAGAUUUGAUGAUUUAUAUGGUUAGAUUUCAAGGUAUCUUAGUGUUUUUAGUUGUUUGGUGAUGUUUAGCAUGAAAAACAAGCAAGAAAUUUCAUGCCCUUCACCCACACUCCUUGGCUGAAAUUUUCAAGAGAGAAAUUGGAUAAUGGACUUUGAUGAAUUUCAUGCUAUUUAGGUGUUUUUAGUUGUUUUAUGAUGUAAGGUGUAAAAAUCAAGCAUGAAAAUUACAUGUUCUACACUAAACCUUCAAUGGUCGAAUUUUACAAGGAAGAUAUUGAUGAUGGAUUUUUGUGAUAUUACAUAUUAUUUAACUUGUAAUUGAUGACUUGGAGUGUUGGAAGUGGAAUCAAGUUAAUUGGAGUUGAAUUGGAUGUAUUGGCCAAUUAACUGGUGUAUAGAUCGAAUUAGGCCAAUACCAUUUUAUUUCUAUACAUAAUUGAAGCUACGUAGAACAACAUAUUCAGAUAAUAAUCUGAACAUUUUGCAUCCCAUUUCAUGCAUUCAUAUAGAGCCUAAAUUAGUCUUAUAACGGUUUAGUACAAAUAUAGUAAAUUGCUUAUUGUGCAUUAUGUUUAGGUGGUGAAACUUCCGAUAAGGGUAACGAGAUUGUACUCGAAGAUCGGGACUAAGAGUACUUCAACUCCCGAUAUUGUGAGUAACCUUAUUAUCGUCUUAGUUAUCUAAAAUAGUUUUUAUUCGUUUUUGUGAUUUUAUAGAAAAAUGAGUUUAAAUGGUAAAUCCUUAUGUUUUAUAAGUAAAAUGUGAUUAAAUGAAAUGAAUUUUAUAAAUCAUUUUGAAAUUGAAUGAUGAUUUUAGAAAUUGAGUAGUUAGAGACUGUUUGAUUGUGUUGUAAAUUUAUGGUUUGAAUUGAAUGGCUUAUGGUGAUAUUGGCAUGAAUGGAUAAAUUGGAAAUUGUGUUGAAAAUGUAUGAAUUGUUUGUUUUGCCUUAACAGGAUGGGUAGUAAUAUAAUUGCCAUGUCAUGCUGUUGAAACUUUUAUUGAUUUGGUGGAAUAUUGAUUAGUCACUCUAGUGGCGGGUUUUCGUGGACCAGCCUAUUAGAGAGGGGCAUGGUAAACUCGAUUAUAUUUUACCUCGGUACGAGAGGCGCGGAGGGUAUCUCCUGAGAAAAAGCUUUAGAGUUUACUACACGCUAAACCACCACGUGAGGGUGAACUCAGCCAACACCAAGG
RNAcentral lists this long non-coding RNA (1407 nucleotides) under Theobroma cacao (cacao). RNAcentral's name for it is "long non-coding RNA (TCAC_LNC003054)". Lineage: Eukaryota; Viridiplantae; Streptophyta; Magnoliopsida; Malvales; Malvaceae. The record is from RNAcentral.